UACGUAGGGGGCAAGCGUUAUCCGGAUUUACUGGGUGUAAAGGGAGCGCAGACGGACGAGCAAGUCUGAAGUGAAACCCCACGGCCCAACCGUGGGCUUGCUUUGGAAACUGUUAGUCUGGAGUACUGGAGAGGCAGGCGGAAUUCCUGGUGUAGCGGUGAAAUGCGUAGAUAUCAGGAGGAACACCGGAGGCGAAGGCGGCCUGCUGGACAGAUACUGACGUUGAGGCUCGAAGGCGUGGGUAG
This 245-nucleotide ribosomal RNA is filed under the name uncultured Butyrivibrio sp. RNAcentral's name for it is "partial 16S ribosomal RNA". It matches the Rfam family "Bacterial small subunit ribosomal RNA", at positions 524 to 768 of the family's 1533-position model. The record is from RNAcentral. Lineage: Bacteria; Bacillati; Bacillota; Clostridia; Lachnospirales; Lachnospiraceae.